Nomascus leucogenys (northern white-cheeked gibbon) is the source of this 66-nucleotide small nuclear RNA. It matches the Rfam family "U4 spliceosomal RNA". From Rfam's summary of the family: U4 small nuclear RNA (U4 snRNA) is a component of the major U2-dependent spliceosome. The structure of U4 snRNA from yeast and human has been reported. U4 snRNA presents a k-turn RNA motif in the 5p-SL related to recognition of Snu13 protein. The record is from Rfam. Lineage: Eukaryota; Metazoa; Chordata; Mammalia; Primates; Hylobatidae.
AGCUUUGUGCAGUGGCAAUAUUGCAGCCAAUAAGGUUUAUCCGAGGUGCAAUUAUUGCUAAUCAAA